CCGGGACCAUCCGGUAAGGCUAAAUACUCCCGAGAGACCGAUAGCGAACCAGUACCGUGAGGGAAAGGUGAAAAGCACUUCGAACAGAAGAGUGAAAUAGUUCCUGAAACCGUGCGCCUACAAGCGGUCGGAGCUCGUUAAUGAGUGACGGCGUGCCUUUUGCAUAAUGAACCUACGAGUUGCCUUUGCCGGCAAGGUUAAGUGUGACGACACACGUAUCCGAAGCGAAAGCGAGUCUGAACAGGGCGUAUAGUCGGCAGUGGCAGACGCGAAACCAAGUGAUCUACCCUUGGCCAGGUUGAAGGCUGGGUAACACCAGCUGGAGGACCGCACCAAUAAGCGUUGAAAAGCUUCUGGAUGAGCUGAGGGUAGGGGUGAAAGGCUAAUCAAACUUGGAGAUAGCUCGUACUCCCCGAAAUGCAUUUAGGUGCAGCCUUGCGGGUUACUGAUGUGAGGUAGAGCGACUGAUAAGAUGCGAGGGCUUCACCGCCUAUCAAGUCUUGACAAACUCCGAAUGCGCAUCAGUUCUACCGCAGGAGUGAGGGCAUGGGUGCUAAGGUCCGUGCCCGAGAGGAGAAGAAUCCGGACCACCUGCUAAGGUCCCGAAAUGACAGCUAAGUUAAACUAACGAAGUCUGACUGCUAAGACAGCUAGGAUGUUGGCUUGGAAGCAGCCAUUCAUUUAAAGAGUGCGUAACAGCUCACUAGUCGAGGAGUCGGGCGUGGAUAAUAAUCGGGUAUCAAGUUGUCUACCGAAGCAGUGGGAUCAUUUAUAUGAUCGGUAGGGGAGCAUUCCAGUCAGCGUCGAAGGCGUACCGUGAGGUAUUCUGGAGCGUCUGGAAAAGCAAAUGUAGGUAUAAGUAACGAUAAAGGGGGCGGGAAACCCCCUCGCCGAAAGACUAAGGUUUCCUGAUCAACGCUAAUCGGAUCAGGGUCAGUCGGGUCCUAAGGCUCAGCCGAACGGCGAUGCCGAUGGCAGAAACGGUUAAUAUUCCGUUACUACCUUCAGGAGUGACGUGGAGACGCAGUAGUGACAGUGCCGCCAUCUGACGGAAUAGAUGGUUGAAGGGUGUAGGAGUCGAUCAUGGCAGGCAAAUCCACCAUGAGAUCCGAACCUGAUAGUAUGCCGCGUCCUUCGGGACAAGGCAAUAGUGCGCGUAAGCAUGCUGCCGAGAAAAUCCGCUAAACUUAAUCCUGCAGGUACCCGUACCGCAAACGGACACACGUAGUCGGGAUGAAUAUUCUAAGGCGCUUGAGUGAUUCACGGUUAAGGAACUAGGCAAACUGACCCUGUAACUUCGGGAUAAAGGGUCCCUACCCUUUUAUGGGAGGGCGCAGAGAAUCGGUCCAGGCAACUGUUUAACAAAAACACAGGGCUGUGCCAAAUCGAAAGAUCCAGUAUACAGCCUGACACCUGCCCGGUGCUGGAAGGUUAAGAGGAGAUGUCAUCGAUAAGAGAAGCGUUGAAUUGAAGCCCCAGUAAACGGCGGCCGUAACUAUAACGGUCCUAAGGUAGCGAAAUUCCUUGUCGGGUAAGUUCCGACCUGCACGAAUGGUGUAAUGAUCUGGACGCUGUCUCAACCGUGAGCUCAGUGAAAUUGUAGUAUCGGUGAAGAUGCCGAUUACCCGCGAUGGGACGAAAAGACCCCGUGAACCUUUACUAUAGCUUAUCAUUGAAUCUGGGCACGUGAUGUGUAGGAUAGGUCGGAGGCUUUGAAGCAGGUACGCCAGUAUUUGUGGAGCCGCUGUUGAAAUACGACCCUUUAUUUGUUUGGAUUCUAACCCGUGGAACGGGGACAUUGAUUGGUGGGUAGUUUGACUGGGGUGGUCGCCUCCAAAAGCGUAACGGAGGCUUCUAAAGGUGCCC
Molecule: ribosomal RNA, 1866 nt
Filed under: human gut metagenome
Description: bacterial LSU rRNA
Rfam family: Bacterial large subunit ribosomal RNA
Source: RNAcentral